GACGAACGCUGGCGGCGUGCUUAACACAUGCAAGUCGAACGAUGAAGCCGGAGCUUGCUCUGGUGAAUUAGUGGCGAACGGGUGAGUAACACGUGAGUAACCUGCCCUUGACUCUGGGAUAACUGCGGGAAACUGUAGCUAAUACCGGAUACGACCCUCGGAGGCAUCUCCUGGGGGUGGAAAGAAUUUCGGUCAAGGAUGGACUCGCGGCCUAUCAGCUAGUUGGUGAGGUAAAGGCUCACCAAGGCGACGACGGGGAGCCGGCCUGAGAGGGUGACCGGACACACUGGGACUGGGACACGGCCCAGACUCCUACGGGAGGCAGCAGUGGGGAAUAUUGCACAAUGGGCGCAAGCCUGAUGCAGCAACGCCGCGUGAGGGAUGACGGCCUUCGGGUUGUAAACCUCUUUUAGCAGGGAAGAAGCGAAAGUGACGGUACCUGCAGAAAAAGCACCGGCUAACUACGUGCCAGCCGCCGCAGUAA
Molecule: ribosomal RNA, 484 nt
Filed under: uncultured bacterium
Lineage: Bacteria
Description: partial 16S ribosomal RNA
Rfam family: Bacterial small subunit ribosomal RNA
Source: RNAcentral